GAUGAACGCUGGCGGCGUGCCUAAUACAUGCAAGUCGAGCGAACAGACGAGGAGCUUGCUCCUCUGACGUUAGCGGCGGACGGGUGAGUAACACGUGGAUAACCUACCUAUAAGACUGGGAUAACUUCGGGAAACCGGAGCUAAUACCGGAUAAUAUAUUGAACCGCAUGGGUCAAUAGUGAAAGACGGUUUUGCUGUCACGUAUAGAUGGAUCCGCGCCGCAUGAGCUAGUUGGUAAGGUAACGGCUUAGCAAGGCAACGAUGCGUAGCCGACCUGAGAGGGUGAUCGGCCACACUGGAACUGAGCCGCGCUCCAGGCUCCUACGGGAGGCCGCAGUAGGGAAUCUGCCGCAAUGGGCGAAAGCUUGGCGGAGCAACGCCGCGUGAGUGAUAGCGGUCUUCGGAUCGUAAAACUCUGUUAUUAGUGAAGAACAAAUGUGUAAGUAACUAUGCCCGUCUUGACGGUACCUGGUCAGAAAGCCACGGCUAACUACGUG
This 497-nucleotide ribosomal RNA is filed under the name uncultured bacterium. RNAcentral describes it as "partial 16S ribosomal RNA". It matches the Rfam family "Bacterial small subunit ribosomal RNA", at positions 28 to 507 of the family's 1533-position model. The record is from RNAcentral.